CUACGGGGAGGCAGCAGUAGGGAAUCUUCCACAAUGGACGCAAGUCUGAUGGAGCAACGCCGCGUGAGUGAUGAAGGUUUUCGGAUCUUAAAGCUCUGUUGUUGGUGAAGAAGGAGUAGGUAGUAACUGGGCUUAUUUGACGGUAAUCAACCAAAAGUCACGGCUAACUACGUGCCAGCAGCCGCGGUAAUACGUAGGUGGCAAGCGUUGUCCGGAUUUAUUGGGCGUAAAGCGAGCGCAGGCGGAAGAAUAAGUCUGAUGUGAAACCCUCGGCUUAACCGAGGAACUGCAUCGGAAACUGUUUUUCUUGAGUGCGAAGAGGAGAGUGGAAUUCCAUGUGUAGCGGUGGAAUGCGUAGAUAUAUGGAAGAACACCAGUGGCGAAGGCGACUCCUGGUCUGCAACUGACGCUGAGGCUCGAAAGCAUGGGGAGCGAACAGGAUUAGAUACCCUGGGUAGU
RNAcentral lists this ribosomal RNA (459 nucleotides) under Lactobacillus helveticus. RNAcentral describes it as "bacterial SSU rRNA". It matches the Rfam family "Bacterial small subunit ribosomal RNA", at positions 339 to 794 of the family's 1533-position model. The record is from RNAcentral. Lineage: Bacteria; Bacillati; Bacillota; Bacilli; Lactobacillales; Lactobacillaceae.